UAAGGAAUAUUGGUCAAUGGACGCAAGUCUGAACCAGCCAUGCCGCGUGAAGGAUGAAGGUCCUCUGGAUUGUAAACUUCUUUUAUCUGGGACGAAAACGGGAUUUUUAUCUCAAUUGACGGUACCAGAGGAAUAAGCACCGGCUAACUCCGUGCCAGCAGCCGCGGUAAUACGGAGGGUGCGAGCGUUAUCCGGAUUUACUGGGUUUAAAGGGUGCGUAGGUGGGCUUAUAAGUCAGUGGUGAAAUCUCCGAGCUUAACUUGGAAACUGCCGUUGAUACUAUAGUUCUUGAAUUAUCUGGAGGUAAGCGGAAUAUGUCAUGUAGCGGUGAAAUGCUUAGAUAUGACAUAGAACACCAAUUGCGAAGGCAGCUUACUACAUAUAAAUUGACGCUGAGGCACGAAAGCGUGGGGAUCAAAC
This 420-nucleotide ribosomal RNA is filed under the name uncultured bacterium. RNAcentral describes it as "bacterial SSU rRNA". It matches the Rfam family "Bacterial small subunit ribosomal RNA", at positions 355 to 773 of the family's 1533-position model. The record is from RNAcentral.